GACGAACGCUGGCGGCGUGCUUAAAACAUGCAAGUCGAACGGGGUCCAACCUUCGGGUGAAGACCUAGUGGCGAACGGGUGAGUAACACGUGAGCAACCUACCCCAGAGACCGGGAUAAGCCAGGGAAACUUGGUCUAAUACCGGAUAAUCUCCUCCCGCUACUAACGGGUUGAGCAAAUGGUUUUUUCGUCUUUGGGUA
RNAcentral lists this ribosomal RNA (200 nucleotides) under uncultured bacterium. RNAcentral describes it as "partial 16S ribosomal RNA". It matches the Rfam family "Bacterial small subunit ribosomal RNA", at positions 28 to 226 of the family's 1533-position model. The record is from RNAcentral.